Molecule: transfer RNA, 72 nt
Filed under: Camelus dromedarius (Arabian camel)
Lineage: Eukaryota; Metazoa; Chordata; Mammalia; Artiodactyla; Camelidae
Also listed under: 2 other names
Rfam family: tRNA
About the family: Transfer RNA (tRNA) molecules are approximately 80 nucleotides in length. Their secondary structure includes four short double-helical elements and three loops (D, anti-codon, and T loops). Further hydrogen bonds mediate the characteristic L-shaped molecular structure. tRNAs have two regions of fundamental functional importance: the anti-codon, which is responsible for specific mRNA codon recognition, and the 3' end, to which the tRNAs corresponding amino acid is attached (by aminoacyl-tRNA synthetases). tRNAs cope with the degeneracy of the genetic code in two manners: having more than one tRNA (with a specific anti-codon) for a particular amino acid; and 'wobble' base-pairing, i.e. permitting non-standard base-pairing at the 3rd anti-codon position.
Source: Rfam by way of RNAcentral
GGAGGUAUAGCUCUGUGGUAGAGUGUAUGCUUAGCAUGCACAAGGUCCUGGGUUCAAUCCCCAGUACCUCCA